RNAcentral lists this ribosomal RNA (252 nucleotides) under uncultured bacterium. RNAcentral describes it as "partial 16S ribosomal RNA". It matches the Rfam family "Bacterial small subunit ribosomal RNA", at positions 524 to 776 of the family's 1533-position model. The record is from RNAcentral.
UACGUAGGGGGCGAGCGUUGUCCGGAUUCAUUGGGCGUAAAGCGCGCGUAGGCGGCUUGGCAAGUCGGCCGUGAAAUCUCCAGGCUCAACUUGGAGGGGUCGGGCGAGACUGCUGGGCUCGAGGUGGGCAGAGGGCAGUGGAAUUCCGGGUGUAGUGGUGGAAUGCGUAGAGAUCCGGGGAACACCAGUGGCGAAGGCGGCUGCCUGGGCCUGGCCUGACGCUGAGGCGCGAAAGCGUGGGGAGCGAGCCGG